Non-coding RNA from Rhopilema esculentum, 476 nucleotides. Lineage: Eukaryota; Metazoa; Cnidaria; Scyphozoa; Rhizostomeae; Rhizostomatidae. The record is from RefSeq and is a predicted model, not a curated record.
CAAGUGAAAUUGUGGUGGAUGAAUUUGGCUCUGUGCCUAAAUGUAUUACAGAGCAUCCAGGAUUUAGGCCAUUGUGCCUAGAGCCCUGGUCACUGAGAUUUGCGGCUGAUAAAUACAAAACGAAGCUCAAAGAAAGAUACAAGAAAACAAAAUCAGAUUUCAGGUUCUUUCGUGCUGUAUCAUACAGAGAAUUUACAAGGCUCGUUCAUGGACGUCUGGGAACAGAAAGGAUCCCCCUCCCAGCUUGUGCCUACAAUGUUAUCCGUCAACAAUUUUCAGAACAGGACUUAGUUGGUUAUCAUUCGGAAUAAUUAUGAUAAUUAUAAUGCAAUUUUUUAAUGAUGGUAACCUAUUGGCCUGAGCUAGUUUUCUAAGGCAAUCAAAGACUGGUCAUAUUAUAACAUACUUGAUAAAAAUCUUAUUGCAAUGUGUGCUUAAAUAUUUUACUUUAUUUACAAAAUACAAGGCUAGAGGAG